CCUACGGUGCGCAGCAGUGAGGAAUAUUGGUCAAUGGGCGCGAGCCUGAACCAGCCAAGUCGCGUGAGGGAUGACGGUCCUAUGGAUUGUAAACCUCUUUUGUCGGGGAGCAAAAGACGCCACGCGUGGCGUUCCGAGAGUACCCGAAGAAAAAGCAUCGGCUAACCCCGUGCCAGCAGGCGCGGUAAUACGGAGGAUGCGAGCGUUAUCCGGAUUUAUUGGGUUUAAAGGGUGCGCAGGCGGAAGAUUAAGUCAGCGGUAAAAUUGAGGGGCUCAACCCCUUCGAGCCGUUGAAACUGGUUUUCUUGAGUGAGCGAGAAGUAUGCGGAAUGCGUGGUGUAGCGGUGAAAUGCAUAGAUAUCACGCAGAACUCCGAUUGCGAAGGCAGCAUACCGGCGCUCAACUGACGCUCAUGCACGAAAGUGUGGGUAUCGAACAGGAUUAGAUACCCUGGUAGUC
This 459-nucleotide ribosomal RNA is filed under the name uncultured bacterium. RNAcentral describes it as "partial 16S ribosomal RNA". It matches the Rfam family "Bacterial small subunit ribosomal RNA", at positions 338 to 795 of the family's 1533-position model. The record is from RNAcentral.